UGGGGGAUAUUGCACAAUGGGCGAAAGCCUGAUGCAGCGACGCCGCGUGGGGGAUGAAGGCCUUCGGGUUGUAAACUUCUUUUGCUCUGAACAAGGCAUGCUAAUGGGUGUGUUGAGUGUAGGGGUUGAUUAGCGCCGGCUAACUACGUGCCAGCAGCCGCGGUAAUACGUAGGGCGCGAGCGUUGUCCGGAAUUAUUGGGCGUAAAGGGCUUGUAGGUGGCUGGUUGCGUCUGUCGUGAAAGCUCAUGGCUUAACUGUGGGUUUGCGGUGGGUACGGGCUGGCUUGAGUGCAGUAGGGGAGGCUGGAAUUCCUGGUGUAGCGGUGGAAUGUGCAGAUAUCAGGAGGAAUACCGGUGGCGAAGGCGGGUCUCUGGGCUGUUACUGACACUGAGGAGCGAAAGCAUGGGGAGCGAACAGG
RNAcentral lists this ribosomal RNA (419 nucleotides) under bacterium. RNAcentral's name for it is "partial 16S ribosomal RNA". It matches the Rfam family "Bacterial small subunit ribosomal RNA", at positions 355 to 776 of the family's 1533-position model. The record is from RNAcentral.